CUGAUACUGAUCAGAUCAACC
Molecule: small nuclear RNA, 21 nt
Filed under: Arabidopsis thaliana (thale cress)
Lineage: Eukaryota; Viridiplantae; Streptophyta; Magnoliopsida; Brassicales; Brassicaceae
Description: snRNA_12021
Source: RNAcentral